This 787-nucleotide ribosomal RNA is filed under the name Micromonospora sp. 3437-1. RNAcentral describes it as "bacterial SSU rRNA". It matches the Rfam family "Bacterial small subunit ribosomal RNA", at positions 74 to 876 of the family's 1533-position model. Lineage: Bacteria; Bacillati; Actinomycetota; Actinomycetes; Micromonosporales; Micromonosporaceae. The record is from RNAcentral.
GGCCCUUCGGGGUACUCGAGCGGCGAACGGGUGAGUAACACGUGAGCAACCUGCCCCAAGCUUUGGGAUAACCCUCGGAAACGGGGGCUAAUACCGAAUAUUACUGCUGGUCGCAUGGCUGGUGGUGGAAAGUUUUUCGGCUUGGGAUGGGCUCGCGGCCUAUCAGCUUGUUGGUGGGGUGAUGGCCUACCAAGGCGACGACGGGUAGCCGGCCUGAGAGGGCGACCGGCCACACUGGGACUGAGACACGGCCCAGACUCCUACGGGAGGCAGCAGUGGGGAAUAUUGCACAAUGGGCGGAAGCCUGAUGCAGCGACGCCGCGUGAGGGAUGACGGCCUUCGGGUUGUAAACCUCUUUCAGCAGGGACGAAGCGAGAGUGACGGUACCUGCAGAAGAAGCACCGGCCAACUACGUGCCAGCAGCCGCGGUAAGACGUAGGGUGCGAGCGUUGUCCGGAUUUAUUGGGCGUAAAGAGCUCGUAGGCGGCUUGUCGCGUCGACCGUGAAAACUUGGGGCUCAACCCCAAGCCUGCGGUCGAUACGGGCAGGCUAGAGUUCGGUAGGGGAGACUGGAAUUCCUGGUGUAGCGGUGAAAUGCGCAGAUAUCAGGAGGAACACCGGUGGCGAAGGCGGGUCUCUGGGCCGAUACUGACGCUGAGGAGCGAAAGCGUGGGGAGCGAACAGGAUUAGAUACCCUGGUAGUCCACGCUGUAAACGUUGGGCGCUAGGUGUGGGGGGCCUCUCCGGUUCCCUGUGCCGCAGCUAACGCAUUAAGCGCCCCGCCUGG